Long non-coding RNA from Loxodonta africana (African savanna elephant), 3054 nucleotides. RefSeq lists it as uncharacterized. Lineage: Eukaryota; Metazoa; Chordata; Mammalia; Proboscidea; Elephantidae. The record is from RefSeq and is a predicted model, not a curated record. The transcript is spliced from 4 exons.
GGACCCUGAGGAGCAGGGCUGACACCCUGGGGAAGGUCACUAGCCAAGCACGACUAGUGGGCCUGGGGCCUGGUAUUGGGGGUGUGGAGGGACUGCCUGUACUUGCCCUGCCAUCUCUGGUGGACCCCUCUGAGCCUGGGUUGGCCUGUCUCUUUCGAAGGCUCCUCUCUGCACUGGGCACCCUUGGGUACCCUUCCCCCCAGGCCUGAAGUAGGUGGAGAUUCAUCCAUCACAGGCAGGCGUGGUGUUACGGAAUGAAUUGAGUCCCCCAAAAAUAUGUGUAGUAAAUCCUAACCUCUAUGCCUGUUUUUUUUUUUAUAUAAGACCAGAAUCCCAGUGGCAUAGUGGUUAAGAGCUAGGCUGCUAGCCAAAAAGUUGGCAGCCUGAAUCCACCAGGCACUCCUUGGAAAUUCUCUGGGGCAGUUCUACUCUGUCCUAUGGGUUCGGUAGGAGUUGGACUGACUUGAUGGCAACAGGUUUUAUGCCUGUUGACCAGACCUUUUGUUGUACAGGUCUUUAUGAGUCGCUGUGAGUUGGAGCCUAGGACAACACCUAACCAGGAGGCCUGUGGUUAUAAUCCCACUUGGGAAUGUGUUGUCUUUGUUAUGUUAAUGAAACAGGAUUAGUGUGGGGUUAGUCUUAAAUCAAUCUCUUUUGAAAAAUAAGAGAUUAAACAAGCAAGCUAGAAAACAGAUUGGGGGGGAGGAGAGAUGGAGAAAAUCACCAAAGGGCAGAAGCUCAAAAAGAGAAGGACCUUCCUCCAGAAAGAGGAAAGUCUUCCCCUAGAGCUGGCGCCCUGAGUUUGGACUUGUAGCCUCCUAAACUGUGAGAAAAAAAAUGUGUUUGUUAAAGCCUUCCUCUUGCGGUAUUUCUGAUAUAGCAGCACUAGAUAACUAAGACACAUGGCCUAUAAAUGUCUGUUCAGUUGAAAUGAAUUGAGCCAGGUGAGGAUUGCUUCCAGCUUGAAUGCCAGCCUCCCUCUCUCUCUGAGAUGACAAAGUCGCCAGUGGCAAUUCCUGGUUUUGAGCCUGUAGACUGAGAGCCUGGGGGCAGGUAUUGGAGCUGUGCAUUCUGUCAGUUAUUCCACAACUAUGUAAUGAUUACCUACUAUGUGCUCGACACUGUUUUAGGUGCUGGGGAUACAGCAGCCAUCGAAGACAAAAUUCCUGCCUUGGUGGAGCUCAAACUCCAGCCAGGAGGAGAAAGUUGAGGAAGUGGCGGCAUUUGCAAUUUUGAAUGGAAUGGCCAGGGAUGACCUCACUGAGGUGACAUUUGAGACAAGACUUGAAGAAGGAAGAUCACCACGGGUACAUUGUUUAGAAUAUUGCUGGUAACACAGGAGGGAGAUGGUGGCGGUUGGACCAGGGUGACAGCUGUGGCUGUAGUGAAGGUGUUGAAUUCUGGAUACUGUAUUUGAGGAUGGAGCUGAUGGCCUGGAACGAACGCAUUCAGGUAUUACAGGUCUGACAAGGAAAGGAAAAAUCCCAGCCUGUAGGUCAAACCCAGCCUUGAGGCCUGGUGCUGGCUGGUGGGAAAAAAGCCAAGUGGAAGAGAGCUGGGAAGUUUGACUCCAGGCUAAUUCCUUGAGAGAAGUUGAGUUGCCAGAAGUCAUGGAGACAGGUUAAAGAGGUUAAAGAUCCCUGCUCCAAGGUCACCCCCUCAGGGAGGCCUUCCCUGACCACUCUAUCUCAUGUCACUCCACACCUGUCAUGGAUGGAAUUGUGUCCCCCAAAAAUAUGUGUAUCAACUUGGCUACUCAUGAUUCCCGGUACUGUGUGGUUGUUCACCAUUUUGUCAUCUGAUGUGAUUUUCCUAUGGGUUGUAAAUCCUAUCUCUAUGAUGUGGAUGAGAUGGGAUUAGUGGCAGUCAUGUUAAUGAGGCAGAACUCAAUCUACAAGAUUGGAUUGUGUCUUGAGCCAAUCUCUUUUGAGAUAUAAAAGAGCAGAGAGACAGGGGGGAUCUCAUACCACUAAGAAGCAGUGCCAGGAACAGAGUACAUCCUUUGGACCUGGAGUUCUUGCACAGAGAAGCUCCUAGAUCAGGAGAAGAUCGAUGACAAGGACCUUCCUUCAGAGCCAGCAGAGAGAGAAGGCCUUCCCCUGGACCUUUUGCCCUGAAUUUGGACUUGUAACCUACUUGACUGUGAGAGAAUAAAUUUCUUUUUGUUAAAGGCAUCCACUUGUGGUAUUUGUUAUAGCAGCAGUAGAUGACUAGGACACCAUCUAUUCCCUUACUCUGCUACAGUUUUCUUCUGGUUGCCACCUGAUUUACAUUUGUUUAUUUAGUAUUUAUUGUUUGUCUCAUAAGGAGCCCUGGUGGCACAGUGGUUAAGCAUUUGGCUGCUAAUCAAAAGGUGGACAGUUUGAGUCCACCAGCUGCUCCUUGGAAACCCUAUGGGGCAGUUCUACUCUGUCCUGUAGGGUCACUAUGAGUCAGAAUUGACCCGAUGGCGAUGCGUUUUGGGUUUUUGUCUGUCUCAUGGAAUGUAUGCUCCAGAAGGACAGGGAUUUGGGAGUGGUUUUGUUCACUGCUGCACCACCAGCACUGAGAACAGUGCCUGGCACAUAGUAGGUGCUCAGUAAGUAUUUGUUGACUGAAUGAGUGAGUAGAAGGAAGGUGGUGGGGCUGAGGUUGGGCAGGCACACUCCAGUCCUGAGCAUCCCAGCAGUUAGGCCCACAGGAAAGUAGAAAUCGACCUACUGAAGCAAAUAGGUUUAAGGGGGAGACAGAAGUUCAGUCAUGGGGCACAACAAGGGCCCUGAGUGUGGAAAAACAGAGGACAAGCGCUUCUAACUGUGGAUCUUGCUGUGCUGGGAUGGCAGCCCUGUCAUCUCACUGCCUGAGCCAGGGAGAUGCUGCGGAGCCCUGGGAAAUGCAAGCCGUCGGCAGCUGGCCCUGUGGGUGGAUGCUGCAGCCGUGAUCACAGGGAACGUGGAAACUAUGCCAGCUUGCAGGCCUGGGGCUUGAGCAAUGAAAGCAGCAGUGCUUUUGGUUGGAUUUCAUUAUAUGAUAUUUGGUAUGAACAAAAAAAAUGUAAUACGCAUGUAAAUCAAG